AACGAACGCUGGCGGCAUGCCUAACACAUGCAAGUCGAACGAGACCUCCGGGUCUAUUGGCGCCCGGGUGCGUAACGCGUGGGAACCUGCCCUUAGGUUCGGAAUAACUCCCCGAAAGGGGUGCUAAUACCGGAUAACGUCUUCGGACCAAAGAUUUAUUGCCUUUGGAUGGGCCCGCGUUGGAUUAGCUGGUUGGUAGGGUAAUAGCUUAGCAAGGCGACGAUCCUUAGCUUGUUUGAGAGGAUGAUCAGCCACACUGGGGCUAAGACGCGGCCGAGACUCCUACGCAAGGGAGGAGAGGGGAAUAGAGGACCAUGGGGGAAGGCCUGAUCCAGCAAGGCCGGGUGAGUGAUGAAGGCCGUGGGGAUGUAAAGCUCAUUUACCCGGGAUGAUAAUGACAGUACCGGGAGAAUAAGCUCCGGCUAACUCCGUG
RNAcentral lists this ribosomal RNA (433 nucleotides) under uncultured bacterium. Its description in RNAcentral is "partial 16S ribosomal RNA". It matches the Rfam family "Bacterial small subunit ribosomal RNA", at positions 29 to 507 of the family's 1533-position model. The record is from RNAcentral.